This 2062-nucleotide long non-coding RNA is filed under the name Gallus gallus (chicken). Its description in RNAcentral is "lncRNA (ENSGALG00010007417.1)". The record is from RNAcentral. Lineage: Eukaryota; Metazoa; Chordata; Aves; Galliformes; Phasianidae.
GUUUGGAAUUAGAUGAUCUCUAAGGUCCCUUCCAAGCCAAACCAUUCUAUGAUUCUGUAUUUAGGCUUCCAAGCGUAUUUAUGGCUGAUCUCUGCACAGCUGGGAGACCUACAGGGUGAAUCAGAUGUAGCAGGCUGCAACAGAAAGGAAAUCAGAAGGCUGCUUUUCUAGGACAAGAAAUUGUCUGGUUCUAACUGUGUGAGGAAGCAUCAUCUGGCAGACAGAUACUUUCAGGAAUCUCUAUCCCAGCACUUUGCAGGGCCUUGAGUAAACUCAAACACUAUCUAUUUGUUGAUGAAAGCCACAGGAUAUGUAAUUUAUGGCAUUCCUGAGCUCUUCCUUGUGGGUCCCAUAGCCUGUUGAAAUAGCACGACCAAGUUGUACACACAGACUUGAUGCUUUUUAACACAUCAAGAGAAGAAGUGGUAUUUUUCCAUCUGAAGGAUGUAAUUUCUUCUGUCUGAGUCCAUCUGUCCUGUUAGUUAAAAAUCAGUCCAUGAAAAUAACUUUGGGGCAGUUCUUGCCCACGUGAGUGGAUUAUUUCUUUUUAAAUAACAAACCCUCCAAAUACAUAGAUAGAGACAGAACUUAAAUCGAUAUUGCAAGUUUCAAGUUUUUGAGACUUUAACAGGGAGGACAGCUGCACAAACUCGUAUGGAGAAUGUACUCUUAUGUGGGACUCCAAAGCAUUUUGUCGUCAUGCAAAUGCUUUUUCAACAGGGUCCGGCCCAGGUCUUCAGAUGCCACCAACCCUGGUGGAGAAAUUGCAUUUGCUUGGUGAAUGUUCCAGUCUGUUCCUACUAAAGAGCAAGAAAUCGCAGCUCUGGAAACUCUGGGAGGGAUCCAUGGAGUCCUGGCUGUACAUCCUAGAAGUUCUACGUUGUUUAUAGCUAUUUCUUUUUUUUUAAGUUUCUUAUGUUAACCUUUGGGAUAUCUGGGACAUAUGGAUUGGUGCACUGAAGCACAUUUUUAAGAACUGAAAUAAAGGAUUUCUUUUUUUUUUUUUGUCAGUUUUCACUUUAUUUUGUAACCUCUGCUGUAUGCAGAAUAAACACUUGUGUAAUAUAGAAGUCUCACCUGAAUUGUAACUUUUUGUGUUUGAGUUGGAAGGGACCAUUUGAGUUGGAAGGAAGCAUUAAAGGCCAUCUGGUCCAACUCCCUGCACUGAACAGGGACACCUCAGCUCCAUCAUGUGCUCAGAGCCCCAUCCAGCCUGACCUUGAAUAUCUCCAAAUCUUCCUUUCCAGAUGCUGUCACUGAGGCUGUGCCACCUGCCAGGAUCACGGCCCUCCAUCAGCCCCCCAUGGCCACGCGCUCUUAGAAAGCAUGGCCACUAAUCCGUCAUUCACCACUCUGUGCAGAGCGGCAGACUCCCUCCCCAACCCACCCACACUUAUCUCAUCCUAUUGAGAGCGCUGCCUGAUCGGGCAGAAUCAAAAUGGCUCACGUGCAAUAUGAAGAGCAAGUGGGUUUGACCAGUGCUCACGCCAAACCUAAAUACGGAUUGAAGUGCACGCUGCCAGCACAAAGUGUGCAUUGUGUGGCUUUGCUGCGCGGUCCCCAGCCUCAGCUCCAGGGCUGUAAGAAUGCUGCACCCUCGCUUUGAGGGCACAACAAAGCAGCAGUGUCUGAAAUGGAAUGUGCUGCAGGUAGCGAGCUAAGCCUCCAUCACCAAAGGCAGUGGGAGGAUUAAUUAAGCUCAAGAAGGCUGUUGCUUGGAGGGACUUCACAGGAAUGCAGACCGAAGGCCCUCAAAGAGCCCACAACAAAGGGCAAAGCCAUGCGCACUGCAGCUCGUGCCAGGAUGAGCUCUGUGGGAUUAAGGGCUUGGUCUGCCUUGCAGAAAGGGCAGGAACAUCGCUGCCCUAGAGAGCAAUGUGAGCAGGAAACGGAUUUUCGGGUGGUUUUUCCUUGGUAGGGUGGAUUAAAAAAUUGCAGUCUUGCUAAUGACAUAAAUGCUACAUCUGAUACAAUCAAAUGUAUAUGAAAGUCGUAAGAUCACAUGUAAUUUGUUUUGAAUUGUGGUUUGUUUCCAAAUAAAAGACCAUAAGCACCUGUUCCA